This 519-nucleotide long non-coding RNA is filed under the name Ananas comosus (pineapple). Its description in RNAcentral is "long non-coding RNA (ACOM_LNC006544)". Lineage: Eukaryota; Viridiplantae; Streptophyta; Magnoliopsida; Poales; Bromeliaceae. The record is from RNAcentral.
CUAAUUAAAAAUAGAUUAAAAAAAAACAUAAAAUUUUUUGAAUUACAAAUUAUUUUAAUUUAGUUAUCUAAUCUUUUAAAAUUUUUAUUUUACUUUCUAAUCUUUCAAUUGGUUUAAUUUAAAACAAUUAAUAAUAUUUUGACUUGAAAAUUUAAGUUAAUUAUUUCUUUUAAUAAACUUAUAAUUACGAGAAUUGCAUGAAAUAUACUAAUUAAAUAUAUAUAGAUAAAUGACGCAUUCAAAUUUUAAAAUUAAAAUAUCGUUGACUGAGUCAAAUAAAAUAAAUUGAGAUAUUAGAUAAUAUAAUUAAAAUUUUAAAAAAAUUAGAUAGCUAAAUCAAAAUAAUCUAUAAUUCAAGUACGAUUUUUACUUCAGAAAUUUAGGACUUCUUUCACCUGGCAGUGUGGCCUCCUGCUGCAAUUUUCUAAAAAAUGUGUAAUUAUGCAAUUGUGCGUGGGGUUGUAUGUGCAACCACAUGGACAAAAAUUUUGUGGGCACCGUCCCCAAACGCCACGUGGC